GUCUGAUAUAUCUGCCUGCCUGCCUGCCUGCCUGUUUCUCAUCUCUCUCAGGAGUGUGAUGUCUUGAAAAACAGAAUUCUAUCUCAACUGCAACAUCUUGAUUAAUCUUUGGCAUACGGACUGAAACUCAGAAAAGAUCUGCCAAAUUAAUGAAACAAAUUAACUCCCCAACAGCACCAAGCAAUCUUCCAAAAGCAGCCCGGCUCCUCCAGUGGAAGGCUAGGUCCACCAGCUAAAAGAAACAGGGAUUCAUGGGCCAAUUUGUCUGACUGAUCAACAGAUGACGCAAGAAUGAAUCAGUUACCAACAGUGAGCAGCAGCACAAUGUCCCAUGAAUAACUGAACCUCAAACCAAGACUAGAUAAUUCAAUAAUACAGCC
RNAcentral lists this long non-coding RNA (380 nucleotides) under Heterocephalus glaber (naked mole-rat). RNAcentral's name for it is "lncRNA (ENSHGLG00100036981.1)". The record is from RNAcentral. Lineage: Eukaryota; Metazoa; Chordata; Mammalia; Rodentia; Bathyergidae.